Molecule: ribosomal RNA, 471 nt
Filed under: uncultured bacterium
Lineage: Bacteria
Description: bacterial SSU rRNA
Rfam family: Bacterial small subunit ribosomal RNA
Source: RNAcentral
GACGAACGCUGGCGGCGUGCCUAACACAUGCAAGUCGAGCGGAGAUAAGCGGAAGGUAACUGAAGCUUAUCUUAGCGGCGGACGGGUGAGUAACACGUGGGCAACCUGCCUUGAAGUGGGGGAUAACACCGGGAAAUCGGUGCUAAUACCGCAUAACAUACACAAACUGCAUGGUAAGUGUAUCAAAGGAGCAAUCCGCUUUAAGAUGGGCCCGCGGCUGAUUAGCUAGUUGGUAAGGUAACGGCUUACCAAGGCGACGAUCAGUAGCCGACCUGAGAGGGUGACCGGCCACACUGGAACUGAGACACGGUCCAGACUCCUACGGGAGGCAGCAGUGGGGAAUAUUGCGCAAUGGGGGGAACCCUGACGCAGCAACGCCGCGUGGAGGAAGAAGGUCUUCGGAUUGUAAACUCCUGUCUUCUGGGACGAAUAAUGACGGUACCAGAGGAGGAAGCCACGGCUAACUACGUG